UACGUAGGGUGCGAGCGUUGUCCGGAAUUAUUGGGCGUAAAGGGCUCGUAGGCGGUUUGUCGCGUCGGGAGUGAAAUCCACUGGCUUAACUGGUGGCUUGCUUUCGAUACGGGCAGACUGGAGGUAUGCAGGGGAGAACGGAAUUCCUGGUGUAGCGGUGAAAUGCGGCAGAAUAUCAGGAGGAACACCGGUGGCGAAAGGG
This 202-nucleotide ribosomal RNA is filed under the name uncultured bacterium. RNAcentral describes it as "partial 16S ribosomal RNA". It matches the Rfam family "Bacterial small subunit ribosomal RNA", at positions 524 to 723 of the family's 1533-position model. The record is from RNAcentral.